This is a non-coding RNA of Salmo salar (Atlantic salmon), 2758 nucleotides long. The record is from RefSeq and is a predicted model, not a curated record. Lineage: Eukaryota; Metazoa; Chordata; Actinopteri; Salmoniformes; Salmonidae.
UGUCUCUUCGGUCAAUGAUUCUUUGGCCAAAUUUGAACUGCUUUACAUUCUCAUGUAAACAAGUAUUAUAUCACAAUAAUAUUUGUUUCACACCUCUUAAUGGGAAAGAGGAGUCAACUGAAGAUUGCAGCAAAAUAUGUAUUAUUGCUCCCAUCUAUCACAUGCACUUAUGUUAGCUUUUCAACAGCUUUAACACUGCCAGUGAUGACGUUCAAAGUAAUCCAACAUAUAGAAUAAACCAACAGACCACUUCAACUACCAUAACAUUCUGAGUAACAGUUACAGAUGUAUUUUUUCUUAUUGCAGUAAAGACGUCCAUGACUUUGAUAUGUUGUUGUUUGUCUACCUUAGUUGAAUGCACUGACUGUAAGUCACUCUGGAUAAGAGCGUCUGCUGAAUGAUCAAAAUGUAAAUGUAAAACAAAUACUUGCAAAGCAUGCUGGGUAUUAUUCUAAUGAGGUCCUCUGCCCCCAAACAAGUACACAUUUGGUCGGUGGGGACCAGAACCAAAUUUGAACCAAUCAUAGACGUCUAGUCUAUGUUUCAAAAGUUUGAACAUCACAGUACAGUACGGCACAGUUUAGUACAGCAGAGCACAGCAGUACAAUACAGUGCAGUACAAUACGGUAUGGUAUGGUACGGUACAAGACAGUAGUGUUAUUCAGUAGAGUACAUUACAUUAUGGUACAGUACAGUAGAAUUGAAUUCAUUAGAGUAGAGUACAAUAGAGUACAGUGAAGUACAGUACAGUAUAGUUGAAUUCUGUGGAGUACAGUACAGUUUAGUUCAGUAGAGUACAUUAGACUAAAGUAGGGUACAACACAGUACACUAUACGUUGCUUAUAUUUACUUAACCGUCGUCUGUACAGUACAGUUUAGUUCAGUAGAGUACAUUAGACUAAAGUAGGGUACAACACAGUACACUAUACGUUGCUUUUAUUUACUUUACCAUAGUCUAGUGUGCUCUACUGUAUUGUGCUGUACUCUACUUUACUGUACUGUACUAUACUAUACUUUUUUUUACACUACUGUGUACUCUAAUGUACUUUACUCUGCUGUGCUCUACUGUACUGAGCUGUCCAAACUUCUGAAACACCAAAUCUGAACCAAUUAUAGAUGUUUGGGCUAAAUCAAGGCUGGACUGGACUGGACCAAAUCUCAGCGUCUAUGUUUGGGCCAAAUAUAGGCCGGUCUGGACCGGACGUCGGUGGACGUCUAGGAUUGGUUUAGAUUUGGUCCAGACCAGACCAAAAAUCAACGUCAGUGGACGCUGAAAUCAAGAACACUCCUGACCGCAAAAACAAGACGUCCUAAAAACGUAGCCUGACGUCAAAUGCUUAGUGGGUGGUUCAUACUCCUCCAACCCAGCACAUUUAUGAAAUCAUGUAGUGGUUAACCAAGACGUGUUUUUAAAGAAGAUGACUGAUGUUUAGAGUAUACUAUAAACUGAACUAGCUCUGAGAAUAUUUUCCCAAUGAAAGGUUUACUAGUUCCACUGGUGUUGCUGCUCUGUCAGUUAGGAGCACCUGAGAGCUUUCUAAGUGAAGACGCAUCCUCGGGCAAAAAGACAGCACUCCAACCUGACAUCUGGUCUGAGCUGAGAGAUCUGAGAGACAUGGUGGUGCUGCAGAGAGCAGAGCUGAGCCGCACCAUGGCUGAACUACGAGAUACUAAGAACCAGAUGGAGGGGCUAAAAACAGAGAUCUCAGUCAUGGAGUCCAGGCUGAUGAGUUCUGAAGGACAACUUGAGGCAAUGAAGACAGACAUGCAGCCAUAGUGAGCAGAGUAACAUCCGCUGAGAGUGAGGUUGAGAGACUACAGAAGGAGAAUGCAGAGAGACCUAAGGUCGCAUUUUCAACCUCUUUUGGAAAAACUGGACAGCAUGGGCCAUUCCACACUGCCACCACCGUGGUCUUCCAGAAUAUAUUCUCAAACACUGGCAACCACUACAACCAAGCUACAGGUGUCUUCACAGCACCGGUGAGAGGGGCCUACUACUUCGGCUUCACUAUUGGUGCAUAUCUCCAUUCCACUGUUAUGGGCCUAACACUGUUCAAGAAUGAACAACAGAUAAUUCAUACAGGGGAGUGGGGUAACCAUGGGCAGUUUAGGUAUGCAUCCAAUACCGUCAUACUACAGCUGGAGGAGGGAGAUGUCGUUUUUAUGCAACUCCCUGCAAACUACAGGAUGUUUGAUGAUUUACAUAUAAAUAUAUAUACACACACACACACACACACACACACACACACACACACACACACACACACACACACACACACACACACACACACACACACACACACACACACACACACACACACUUUUCAACAACACAUGCUGCAAUAUUCACUUUGACCAGUUGGGGGUAGUAGAUUCCCACAGUUCGUUGUGUGUUCUUUGAUCAUAGGGGAUGGAUUCAGUCAACACAGACCUAUUAUGUGAAUGGUUUGAUGGAUGAAAAUGAUCCAACCAUUUCAGGUUAUAUGUAUUUGGGGUAUUUUUAGCCAAGUGAAGUUAAAUAGAAUCAUAUAGAAUGUUUUUAAACGUUACAGUUAGAAAAUAUUUACAAGUACAAUAAACAAUGUACUGUAAUAUUGGCCUACCCAGUCUGGUUUAAUGCAUGUUUUAGACUUUUUAAAUAACUAUUUUAUUUUAGAAAUAAGGUAUUACGUAUAGGCCUAUACUUCACCAUGUUAACACAUAUACAGUACCAGUCAAAAGUUUGGACACACCUACUCAUUCAAGGGUUUUUCUUUAU